UUUGAGAUGCUGGAGAGACUCAUUGCUGCCCAGCAGGGCCGAGAGGAGAGGAGGGAGCUACCUGACCCUCCCCCGCUUCCAUAAGUUGAGCCACCACUGUAACGAGAGGAUCCCGAGCCACCCCGGUACGACCCUAUUCCUCCACAAUAGCACCCCGGUACCACUGCAGUAUGAUCUUGUGUCUCAGCCACAGUACAACCCGGCACUGCCACAGUACAAUCUGGUGCCCCCACCGUAUCUGU
RNAcentral lists this long non-coding RNA (242 nucleotides) under Carica papaya (papaya). RNAcentral describes it as "long non-coding RNA (CPAP_LNC014891)". The record is from RNAcentral. Lineage: Eukaryota; Viridiplantae; Streptophyta; Magnoliopsida; Brassicales; Caricaceae.